GGAGUUGUGGCUCAGUGGUAGAGCGUUCACCUCGCACUUGCGAGGCCCUGAGUUCAAUCCUCAGCACCA
RNAcentral lists this transfer RNA (69 nucleotides) under Marmota marmota marmota (Alpine marmot). It matches the Rfam family "tRNA". Rfam says of the family: Transfer RNA (tRNA) molecules are approximately 80 nucleotides in length. Lineage: Eukaryota; Metazoa; Chordata; Mammalia; Rodentia; Sciuridae. RNAcentral also lists the same sequence under 1 other name. The record is from Rfam by way of RNAcentral.